Long non-coding RNA from Gallus gallus (chicken), 385 nucleotides. NCBI's taxonomy places the organism in Eukaryota, Metazoa, Chordata, Aves, Galliformes, Phasianidae. The record is from Ensembl.
CCACAGGGUAAAGAGAGGUCCUUACAGCCCUGCCCACAGACGCCUCCCCACAUUCACCUCAAAUGCAGACUUCGUGCUCAGGCACACUUCCUUCUACACUCACAUCAAACCCGGAGGGAAGGCAAGGGAAUGUGCAAAGACAAUGGGAAGGAAAGGGAAAGAGAAGGGAAGGCAAGGAAAAGAAAGGAAAAGAAGAAAGGAAAGAGCAGACCCAGCGGAGCACUUUUUAAGGGAAAUCUGAUGACCUUUCUUUUGAAGAGCUCCCGACGUGGCAUGUUUCUGGCACGCGGACCUGAAGUUUGGCAAAAGGAGGAGCAGGGAAGGCCUUUGGUUGAGUCCAGACUCACCCUCUGCUGCUGCCGAAUCGGCCAAGCCUUUGAUAUAA